RNAcentral lists this ribosomal RNA (380 nucleotides) under uncultured archaeon. Its description in RNAcentral is "bacterial SSU rRNA". It matches the Rfam family "Archaeal small subunit ribosomal RNA", at positions 471 to 851 of the family's 1478-position model. The record is from RNAcentral.
UAAUACCAACUCCCUGAGUGGUGGGGGCGAUUAUUGGGCUUAAAGCGUUCGUAGCCGGCCUGAUUAGUCCCGCGUCAAAUCCAGCGACCUAAUCGUUGGACUGCGGGGGACACGGUCGGGUUUGGGAGCGGGAGAGGUUAGCAGUAUUCCCGGGGUAGGGGUGAAAUCCUAUAAUCCCGGGAGGACCACCAGUGGCGAAGGCGGCUAACCAGAACGCGUCUGACGGUGAGGGACGAAAGCUGGGGGAGCGAACCGGAUUAGAUACCCGAGUAGUCCCAGCUGUAAACGAUGCAGGCUAGCUGUUGGGUUGGCCACGAGCCAUCCCGGUGGCGCAGGGAAACCGUUAAGCCUGCCGCCUGGGGAGUACGGUCGCAAGACUG